GAAACACUAUUUAAAUGAACAUAGCUGGCCAUCGACAAGAAGUCACACCUGAAACUAAAAAUUGUGAUAAAGAGAAAGACCUAGAAGACGAUACAACCUGGCACAUAUUAACACCUGUACAAGAAAUUUAAAAACCUAAGGAAUCCGUGAAGAUGACAUCACAGUUUGUUUUAGAAAAAUUACAAAAAAUUCUGAAAGGAGAUGGUGUUAAGGCAAUACCAUCUACUGUUUUUUUAAUUGUAUUGAAGAAGCUGAUUGAAAUUGAAUUUCAUUCAUGCCCAUGCAAAGUUGAGCUAAAUGCCCUGGUAAUAUCGUUUAUGUUCAUUGGACCUGCUUUUUUUAUUUUCAUUUUACUGUAUCUUAUACUUAGGUUUCUUAAAUAUAGAUGCAGUUUUUGUAGAGAAGCAAAUGAUGAUACUCAGAGGUACUGUCCUAAAGCUGUAGCAGUUUGUCUGAUUUCACCUGUUAUAUGGGUUGUUAUUUUGUUAAUUGAUGGUGAAUAUAUUGCUUGUGGCAUGACAUAUUGGAAUGGAGUUUAUGUGUUUGAUGAUGAUCUCCAAAAGUUGUGGUGUAAACCUACUGAAGAGAUACGAAAUAAGACUGUGACUGAGCUACGGAAUCUGACUAGCACAUAUAUACAUCACUCUCAGGUUUCAGGUUAUGCUUUGAUAACUGUUCUUAGUGUCUUGCUGUUUGUUUCUGUGGGAGUCUAUGACUGCUGCAUCAGUGGGAAAUGUCAACUGUUAUGCUGCAGACAAACAGCAGAGACACGGCGUGGGAGACAAGAUAAUGUUGAAACAGUUACUGGAGGGCUUGAUGCUCCCUGCGACAGACCCUCCAACACUGUACAAAAUCAGACUCCCUCACAAGCUUCUCCUCGUCCUCAUGAGGUAACGAAUGUUUGA
This is a long non-coding RNA of Cyprinus carpio (common carp), 905 nucleotides long. The record is from Ensembl. NCBI's taxonomy places the organism in Eukaryota, Metazoa, Chordata, Actinopteri, Cypriniformes, Cyprinidae.